This 501-nucleotide ribosomal RNA is filed under the name uncultured bacterium. RNAcentral's name for it is "partial 16S ribosomal RNA". It matches the Rfam family "Bacterial small subunit ribosomal RNA", at positions 30 to 523 of the family's 1533-position model. The record is from RNAcentral.
AUUGAACGCUGGCGGCAGGCUUAACACAUGCAAGUCGAGCGGGGUGAUGGUGCUUGCACUAUCACUUAGCGGCGGACGGGUGAGUAAUGCUUAGGAAUCUGCCUAUUAGUGGGGGACAACAUCUCGAAAGGGAUGCUAAUACCGCAUACGUCCUACGGGAGAAAGCAGGGGAUCUUCGGACCUUGCGCUAACAGAUGAGCCUAAGUCGGAUUAGCUAGUUGGUGGGGUAAAGGCCUACCAAGGCGACGAUCUGUAGCGGGUCUGAGAGGAUGAUCCGCCACACUGGGACUGAGACACGGCCCAGACUCCUACGGGAGGCAGCAGUGGGGAAUAUUGGACAAUGGGGGGAACCCUGAUCCAGCCAUGCCGCGUGUGUGAAGAAGGCCUUAUGGUUGUAAAGCACUUUAAGCGAGGAGGAGGCUACUUUAGUUAAUACCUAGAGAUAGUGGACGUUACUCGCAGAAUAAGCACCGGCUAACUCUGUGCCAGCCGCCGCCGUAA